This 518-nucleotide long non-coding RNA is filed under the name Vulpes vulpes (red fox). RNAcentral's name for it is "lncRNA (ENSVVUG00000011037.1)". The record is from RNAcentral. Lineage: Eukaryota; Metazoa; Chordata; Mammalia; Carnivora; Canidae.
UGGGCACUUAAAGCAACCAUUUAUUGUAGAAUGAGUAAUGAAGGAAAAGGGUUCAAUAGCUAUCAUCAACUAGUAAGAUUGUGGACUUGGCCCUGCUGGGAUAAAUCAUGGUGAAUGCAUCAGAAAUGCUAAUCGCGUGGGCUGUCUGGAGUUUUUCCCAUGGGUUACAAGAUAUAAAAAAAAAAUCCUGCAGCAGAGGUAAAUACUCUGUUGAAAAUCAUUUCUUUGAUUUUAUUAUUCAACAAAUUCUUUGUUGAAUGAUUUCUUAAUGAUUAUCAGUUAUCUUCAACACUGGAGUUAACGACUAAGCUUCUACAUUUUAGGGACACACUCCUUUGAAAAUUAUUGCUUAAUAACGUGAGAAGUAUUUAUCUUUAAUAAUAUUUUGUAAAUUUCUUGUCUGCUCAAUUCUUAAGCAAGAUAUAGUCCAGUUACUAUUGUUUACCUAACCAUAUGACACUGGUUUCUUCACAAUUACUCUUGUCAAUUAAUAAAGGUCCUUUGGGACAAAGAGUUCA